RNAcentral lists this ribosomal RNA (1166 nucleotides) under uncultured Bacteroides sp. RNAcentral describes it as "bacterial SSU rRNA". It matches the Rfam family "Bacterial small subunit ribosomal RNA", at positions 10 to 1174 of the family's 1533-position model. Lineage: Bacteria; Pseudomonadati; Bacteroidota; Bacteroidia; Bacteroidales; Bacteroidaceae. The record is from RNAcentral.
AGUUUGAUCCUGGCUCAGGAUGAACGCUAGCUACAGGCUUAACACAUGCAAGUCGAGGGGCAGCAUUGGAGUAGCAAUACUUCAGAUGGCGACCGGCGCACGGGUGAGUAACACGUAUCCAACCUGCCGCUUACUCGGGGAUAGCCUUUCGAAAGAAAGAUUAAUACCCGAUGGUAUAAAGAGUUCGCAUGUUCUCUUUAUUAAAGAAUUUCGGUAAGCGAUGGGGAUGCGUUCCAUUAGAUUGUUGGCGGGGUAACGGCCCACCAAGUCUACGAUGGAUAGGGGUUCUGAGAGGAAGGUCCCCCACAUUGGAACUGAGACACGGUCCAAAUCCUACGGGAGGCAGCAGUGAGGAAUAUUGGUCAAUGGACGAGAGUCUGAANCCAGCCAAGUAGCGUGAAGGAUGACUGCCCUAUGGGUUGUAAACUUCUUUUAUAAGGGAACAAAGUGAGGGACGUGUCCCUUUUUGUAUGUACCUUAUGAAUAAGGAUCGGCUAACUCCGUGCCAGCAGCCGCGGUAAUACGGAGGAUCCGAGCGUUAUCCGGAUUUAUUGGGUUUAAAGGGAGCGUAGGUUGACGUAUAAGUCAGCUGUGAAAGUUUACGGCUCAACCGUGAAAUUGCAGUUGAUACUGUAUGUCUUGAGUGUACAAGAGGUGGGCGGAAUUCGUGGUGUAGCGGUGAAAUGCUUAGAUAUCACGAAGAACUCCAAUUGCGAAGGCAGCUCACUGGGGUACAACUGACACUGAGGCUCGAAAGUGUGGGUAUCAAACAGGAUUAGAUACCCUGGUAGUCCACACAGUAAACGAUGAAUACUCGCUGUUUGCGAUAUACAGUAAGCAGCCAAGCGAAAGCAUUAAGUAUUCCACCUGGGGAGUACGCCGGCAACGGUGAAACUCAAAGGAAUUGACGGGGGCCCGCACAAGCGGAGGAACAUGUGGUUUAAUUCGAUGAUACGCGAGGAACCUUACCCGGGCUUGAAUUGCAGAGGAACAUAGUUGAAAGAUUAUGGCCGCAAGGUCUCUGUGAAGGUGCUGCAUGGUUGUCGUCAGCUCGUGCCGUGAGGUGUCGGCUUAAGUGCCAUAACGAGCGCAACCCUUAUCAUUAGUUACUAACAGGUCAUGCUGAGGACUCUAGUGAGACUGCCGUCGUAAGAUGUGANGAANGU